This is a long non-coding RNA of Panthera uncia (snow leopard), 11748 nucleotides long. RefSeq lists it as uncharacterized. The transcript has 2 exons. The record is from RefSeq and is a predicted model, not a curated record. NCBI's taxonomy places the organism in Eukaryota, Metazoa, Chordata, Mammalia, Carnivora, Felidae.
UUAGCUGGAUUCUUUUUUUUUUUUUUUUAAUGUUUAUUUAUUUUAGAGAGAACACACGAGCAUGAACAGGGGAGGAGUAGAGAGAGAGGAGAGAGAGAAUUCCAAGCAGGCUCUGUGCUGUCAGCAUGGAGCCCAGCAUGGGGCUCAAUCUCAUGAACUGUGAGAUCAUGACCUACACCAAAAUCAAGAGUAGGACGCUUAACCGACUGAACCACCCAGAUGCCCUGGAUUUUCUGGAUUCUUAAAAGAUUUUAUCUGAAUAGGUCUGUUUAUAAAAUUGUCUUUCUGUGUUCUGAGUGACUAUGUUACUUUAAUACAAAAUAAAACAAAAUUCUCAAAACUCUAGUUCAUGUACCUAGUACCAGUGUAAUAUCUCACAGACUAGAGGGUAAAUGGACUUGAGACAAAUGUUAAAACCUGACUUUGGGGAUGGGGCUGGGAAAUAAAGUCCAUUUUAGUAAUAGAUUUUUAUCUUUAAAUUGGGUAUUUGCUUGGUUACAAGAGGAUUAAUUGUAAGAAUCUCUUUCUCAAGUAGUCUCAGCUUGAACAGAUAAAUAUAGAGCACCAGUGUUGGGAGAGGGAAUGCUGUAGAAAAUGUGUGGGUAGCUGUUGUAGUUUUACAUAGCAGAUAACAUCUAGGAUAAAGAAUAGAUGAAAAUGCUCAUUGAGGAUUAGUGUUCUUGAAACAUCAUCAAAUACAACAUUCCCAGGCCUACCAUUCACAGCCAUUCAUAAUCUUGCCCAUCCUGCGUAUCUAAGAUAUUUCCCACUGAGCUCAACACACUUUUCUUCAAUCUUGUAUUUCUGUGUUUGCCACACUAUUCCCAGUGCCAUUCAUUUGGUCUCAUCCUUUAGAAGGCAUGUGUUUCCCCUUCUGCACCCCUGCAGAAAGAUGGAUUCUAGUUUAUCUUUUCAGUACUCAAGUGCCGUCUUCUUCAUGAAGUGUCUCUGACCUCUCUAGUCCACAUUGAUCCUUUUUUUCGUUCUUAACUCCUACAGCAGUGAUACUUUCACUUUCUUCCAGCUGGUUCCUGACUUUACAUUUAUGUAGCAGUAAACAACUUUUUGAGUUUUUAUUGAGUGCCUCUUGCAUAUGCAGCACUACUACUCUAAAUACUGGGUCUAAAGGGUGAAGACAGAAAAUGUCCCUGUCCUCAUGGAGUUUAUAUUCUUGUGGGGAGAGACAGCCAAUAAAUAAAAUAACUAGCGAGAAAACAUCAGACAGUAAGAAUCUUAUGAGAACAUCUGUGAAGAAUGAAUCAGAUACCUUAGUUGCAAGUGGUGGAUCCCAUUCUAGUUAGUUAAAGCAGAGGAAAAAAAAUUAAGGGUAUUACAUAGCUCAUAGAUUCUUUAGGGGAAAGUGGAGAAUCGUUUUGGAGACUGCUUAGUUAGGAACAAUGCCUAAAUUAUAACACUGGGCUCCAUCAUUGGAGAUAUUACUUCUUUUGUCGCAGAACAGGUAUUGGAAUUUGCAUGUCUGUGCUGAGUAUGAGAUGUAACUGCUAGGACAUCUGUCAUUUCGCCUUCCGAAAGGAAGGUAUAUCUCUCUGAAAUAUACUUCAGAAUAGACUAAACAUGGUGUCUCCAUUAUAUCACUUGCUUUCUAACUGAAAUAUCAUGUGAGUGUGUUUGGUUGGGAGAACGUAGGUCACAUACCCACUUCCUGUUUACAGAAGAGGCUGAGGAAGUGAAUUUCUGACUUAUGUUUUGGGAAGGCACGACUUAGGAGAUGAGAAAUUUUCCAAACAAGGAAAGCGGUUUAAAGGUACUAAGUAGUUAUAAACCAUGGAAAAGUUGAUAUGGUAGAGAGUGAUUGCAGGGUUAAUUUGGAUUUGAGUAGUCAGAGAAAGCCACUCUGAGGUCAAGAAACUUAAGCUCGGCCCUAAAUGACAAGGACAAGUCCAUGUAACAUUAAGGGUGGGGAAUAUUUUAGUAGGGUGGACCAGUCAAAGGCCGUGGUUUGGAAUUGGGAUGGGGGUCUGAGGCACAGGAUGGUGAAUGAGUUUGGCCUGUUGGAGGAACAGCAGGAUGGCUGAUGUUGCUGUAGUGUGGUGAGUGAGAAGGAGUGUAGAUGAGAUUGCAAAGGAGAGGAUAUUUUUGUUUUGUUUUGUUUUGUUUUACCAGAAGUGUGAAGACACUCAUCUUACUUUUUCUUCCCCUGAGAUGUCCUGUUGAGAGUGGGGAUGUAAUUAUAGGUGUGGAGAAAGGGAGGAUAUUUCUGUGUUAUUAAACCCACGAGCUCUUGGAUAUUAUGGAGUGACUAAAAUUAUUUAUAUACUGUUUAGGAGGAGAAGAGUGUGAGGUUUCUAGCAAAGAUAAGAAAUAUCUCUGCAUGUCCAGUGAGUAGUGGGAUAAAGCCUUCUGUUUUCAUUCCAGUGCCUCAAUCUAGCGAGCCUUGAAAGAAAUCCUUCUUUAUUCCUCUUACCUUGAUGUACAGGAACCAUGUUUUGUGUGGUUAUGAUGAUUUGUAUUGCACUAGCUCUUGGGACUGCUUCAGAAUAACAAAAGACUCCAGCCUCAAGUCUGCAUUGAUAGAUCUUUCCUAUUAAAGAAUUGCAUUAUAUAAUGAAGUGAUAGAAAACUGUUUUCUAGUCUUUUUUUAGAAAUCAACUCCACAAAUAAAUGAGAUAAAUUUGCCUUGGAAUGCAGAACAAUUGCUACUCUGAAUCAAGUAAACUCUGCUUUAUGCUCACUCUCUUUUACAUUUUCCACUUCCUAUUCAAACUGGAACAGAUAGUCCUUAUGUGUCUAAUAUGCUCCUACUGCACAGGGGUGUUUGGACUUUAGAUGGACUAAUGUGACUAUAGGUGGUAAUAUUCUAUGCAGAGUUUCUCAACCUUGGCACGACUGAUACUUUGUAAGAUGAUUCUUUGUGAAAGGGGGACUGUCCUGUGCAUUGUAACAUGUUUAGUGGCACCCCUCCCCAUUUGUGAUAACAAAAAAAAAUAUCUUUAGACAUUGCCAAACAUCCCUGGUUGAGAACCGCUGCUCCAACUCUAGCUUUUUGGCUUUCUUUUAAAACUCAUCCUAUUUGUCCUUUCUAAUGGUAACUGAUGACCAUACUUGUAGGUGCUCUGCAGAGAUUACAUCCAUUUGAACAGUUUCUAAAUAUGAUUAUCCUACAUGUGCAGGGACUUUUAACAUAGUUUGAAAAUGAGAAGACAAAACCUCUUUCCCUUAUGUGUAUAUCCAAUGGACAUUUCCGAUACUACUUUAGUAAGAUCAUAUAAGAAAAUGUGAAAGUGCACCGUGGGUGAUAUUAAUGGAUGUUAACGGCUGAGGCCGCAGUAACUAUUUCACCCUUUCCCUAUUGUGCAGCUGUAGUAUGGCUUCUGAAUUUGACACUUGCCUCAUGUGUGAGCUAUGAUUAGCCUCAGCCAGUGGUUUUGAAAUGGCCAAACAUGACCUAUUAAAGGGUCAGAAAAUCAAUUUAGUAGAGUGGCAACCAACUUAAAAAAUACUAAAUGUAAUAUAAGAAAAUAUCAGAGUGCAUUGUGUAUAGUAAGACUAUUGUUUCACAGAAUAUUUGUUAGCUUGUCUGAAUAUGUGUCUACGUACGUGUAUGAGUCUUGAUGUAAAAUAUAUUUCUUAACACGGCUUGCAUUUGAAAGAGUUAAAAAGCCAUUGGUCUAAGCCAAUCAUAAUUCCAUUCCCCUUGCUGGUGGUUGGUUCAGGAGCCCCAGUUUAAGCCAGUCUAUACAUGGAAUUCCUCUGGUAGCAGUAAAUUGAUUCUGGGAUGGGCACAUUGGCCCCCUCAACCUGAAAGAAAAGGCCCUGGAUAAGAGAGCCUUCAUUCUUCUACUUCAUGAGUUCAGAGAAGCCUGCAAAUCGAAUUGCUACUGGCUGCCAUCUCAAAACCACAGGAAUGUGGGGCGCCUGGGUGGCUCCGUGGGUUAAAUGUCUGGCUGCUAAACUAUUUUUUAAAGUGCACCACUUGGGGUGCCUGGGUGGCUCAGGUCAUGAUCUGGCAGUCGUGAGAUUGAGCCCCACAUGGGGUUCUGCACUGACAACGUUGAGCCUGCUUGGGAUUCUCUCUCUCUGCCCCUCCCUUACUUCCUCUCUCUCUCUCUCUCUCUCUCUCUCUCUCUCUCUGCCCCUCCUUUACUUCUUCCCUCUCCUUCCCGUCCUCUCUCUCUCUCUCUCUGCCCCUCCCUUGCUCCCCCCCCCUCUCUCUAAUAUAUAAACAAACAUUUUUAAAAAAGACAAUCCUAUCAGUAAUGAAUGAAGGUUAUAGUUUCCUUGCUCCUCACCAAUACUUGUUAUUGUCUUUUUUAUUGUAGCCAUCCUAGUGGGUGUGAAGUGGUAACUCAUUGUGGUUUUAAUCUGCAUUUCCUAAUGACUAAUGAUGUCAAACAUACUUUGAUGUGCUUAUUAGUCAUUUGUAUAUCUUCUUUGGAGAAAUGCCUAUUCAAAUCCUUAGCCCAUUUUAAAUCAGGUUGUCUUUCUGUUGAGUUGUAAGAGUUGAGGCAUCUUUUUUAAGCUUUUCUUUAUUUCAUUAUGAAUCUAUCAUUCAUUCAUUUUUCAAAUUGAUAACUCAGAGUCUUUUUUUAAAUGUUUAUUCUUGAGAGAGAGAGAGAGAGAGAGAGAGAGAAAGAGAGAGAGAGAACAAGCAGGGAAGAGGCAGAGAGAGGGAGACACAGAAUCCGAAGCAGGCUCCAGGCUCUGAGCUGUCAGCACAGAGUCCGACAUGGGCUCGAACUCACAAACUGUGAGAUCAUGACCUGAGCCGAAGUCGGACGCUUAACUGACUGAGCCACCCAGGCACCCCUCAGAGAGUUUUUUUUCCAAAGAAGGCAGUCAUGUGCCCUUUUCAGUAUUCUUUAGUUUUUUUAAGUAUUGGUCAUAAAGGGAGUAAAAGUCAUGUUGUUAAAAAAUUGAAAUGGAAGUUGUUGAUGUAUGAAGACAGAUAAGUGGAAGAAAUUGCAAAGGGCUACUAAUAUAGAUCAAAUGUGAUAGGAUCUGGUAAAUGGAAUUAAAUCCCUUUAAUUCCUAUGGAAAUUUGAGCAGGAAAACCACAGCUACUAAACGUGUCGAACAAAGGCUGUUGGCUUCUGGAACACUCCUUAAGCACUCUCUCUCACCAGGUUUUAAGAAAUAUUUGUACCUAGUAUUGCAAGGUUUUGCACAUAACAUUUAGAUUAUAUAUUUGUUUUACCCUCCCUCAAAAGGAAUUUGGGCAUUCAAAGAAUUCAUAACUGGUUUAACUGGAUCGUGAGAAUGGUUUACGUAGCUGUCAUAUGUGCCAUGUUUUGUAGUCAAAUGAAGGCUACUGUUAAAUAUAUUCUUAGCUUGAUUAAAUUAUAGGAGGGAGCUUCCAUGAGACCAAAUUGCUCUUUUGAUUUUUUUCCUUACAUUUAGUGGGUUUAAUAUGGAUGUAAUCUUUUGGUAAGAGCAUUUAUACUCUUUAUUAAUUUUAUAUUUAUUGAUAUUAAAUGGAAAACUAAAAUAGAAUCUAUAAGGAGUGCUGAGAGAAAGGUAGAAGAGUUGAAAAGAGCACAGGCUUUGGUGCCAGACUAGGUUUCAAAAUGUACCAUUUCCUCCUUGGGUGACCUUGAACAAACCACCUUAAUCUCUCUCUCUUUUUUUAAAUUUAUUUUUGAGACAGAGAGAGACAGAGCAUGAGCGGGGGAGGGGCAGAGAGACAAAGAGACACACACACACACACACACACACACACACACAGAAUCAGAAGCAGGCUCCAGGUUCUGAGCUGUCAGCUCAGAGCCCAACGUGAGGCUUGAACUCACAGACUGUGAGAUCAUGCCUGAGCUGAAGUCAGAUGCUUAACCGACUGAGCCACCCAGGCACCCCCACCUUAAUCUCUUGAAACAUCAGUCUUCUCAUCUUUAAAAUGAGAUGGAUAAAGUCUACCUUGAAAGAUUGUGGUGAAGAUAAAAUGAAAUUGAUGUGUCUGGGUGGCUCAGUUGGUUAAGUAUCCAACUUUUGGUUUUGGCUCAGGUCAUGAUCUCACAGUUUGUGAGUUCGAGCUCUGCACUGGGCUCUGUGCUGACAGUGUGGAGCUUGCUUGGGAUUCUCUCUCCCUCUCUUUCUGUCCCUCCGGCAUCUCUCUCUCUCAAAAUAAAUCAACUUAAAAGAUAAAAUGAGAUAAUGUAUGAAAAGUAUAUAUAGGCUAGUGCUUCAUAGGCACUCAGUCAAUUUUACCUGGUGAAACAAUAUAUGUUUCAAAUAUACACACACACACACACACACACACACACACACACAUACACACACACAUAUGUAUAUAUAUAUAUAUUUGUGUGUGUAUAUAUAUAUAUUAUAUAUAUAUAUAUAUAUAAUAUAUAUAUUGGGUGAAAGGUGAAUUUAAAUAGUCUCAUUUAGCUUAAAUUGGAGCAUCUACUCAAUAUUGACAAGCCUUUCUGAAAAUGUAAUUUCACAGAAGGUAAACAAAGCAACCUGGGACCUAUUUUUUAAACUUAAGAACAUUUUUAAGUUUAUUUUUAAAAAUUUAUUUUGAAAGAGAAAGCGGGGGUGCAGAGAGAGAAUUCCAAGCAGGUUCUGCACUGUCAGCUCGGGCUUGAACUCACAAACCAUGAGAUCAUGACUAGAGCUGAAAUCGUGAGGCAGAUGCUUCACCCACUGAGCCACGCAGGCACCCCUUAAUUUUUUAUUAUAAUGGUAAAAUAUGCUUGUUGAAGAAAAUUUAGAAAUUACUUUGGAAGUUACAUUUAAAAAAUUUAAAAAGAAAUGGUUAUCUGUGAAUAGAGACUUACUGUGGGAAUGUGGUUCAAGAAGGAAAGAAAACCCUUAAAAGCACAUGGUGACAAUGUUAAUUGGAAAUUAUGAGUAAGAACCAGAGGAGGGUCCUUUAAAGACCGAUGCAUGCUGCAAAAGAGAUUCUUUGCUUUACUCAGAUCUAAAACAGACAUUUACAGAAGGCCAGUGAGGAGGGUAUAUACUCAAGAGUGACCUUGGAGUAUUAGCAGAAUGAGCUUAAAAUGAGAUGAGGCUUUGGGGAGCCUGGGUGGCUCAGUAGGUUAAGUGUCUGACUUUGGCUCAGGUCAUGGUCUCACAGUUGGUGAGUUUGAGCCCUGCAUCAGCUCUGUGCUGACAGCUCAGAGCCUGGAGCCUGCUUCGGAUUCUGUGUCUUCCUCUCACGCUGCCCCUCCCCAACUCACAGUCUGUCUCUCUUUCUCUUUCAAAAAUAAAUAUUCAAAAAAGUUUUUAAAAAGUGUGAUGAGGCUUCUAAAGUUACUAAGACAACAAAAACGUAUUUUAAAACUGUGGACUGAUGGGAAUAGGUAAGGAUAGGCUUGCUACUCUUAUUUAAUGGUGAUAAAACAGAUGGCAAUGAAAGCACAGCUUGCCUCCUGUUCACAUUUCCAGUGAAGAACCUCUUUUGACUUGAAGGAUGAAAAAUGACACCAAUAAAGGAUAGUCUAAGUCUGGGAAGGAGAAGAACCUACAAGGGAGCAUAGAAUUAUCCCAGAAAAAAAAAAAGUACGUGGUACUCAGAACUUUUUGUAUAUAUGAGAUUAUUUGUGGUCUUUGAGAAACCUUAGAAAACAAGAGAAGUACAGGACUGGCAAAUUGAAGAUAGGUCUUGUGAAAAAGAGGAGAAAGUACAUUUGUAGUUGAAAGAAAGACCAAUGAUAUAGGCAGGAUUCAAGAAUAGAUGAUUCAUUUUUUUUAAUGUUUAUUUAUUUUUGAGACAGAGAGAGACAGAGCGUGAGUGGGGGAGGGGCAGAGAGAGAGGGAGACACAGAAUCUGAAACAGGCUCUAGGCUCUGAGCUGUCACCACAGAGCCCGACGCAAGGCUCGAACCCACGAACCGUGAGAUCAUGACCUGAGCCGAAGUCGGACGCGUAACCGACUGAGCCACCCAGGCACCCCUCAAAGAGGGUUUUAAACAUUGUAAACCUUUUUCUAAAUAAGAUGUGAUAGUAGGAGUUGAGUGAAAUGCUGUAUCCGUGCUCAUAUAGUAGCCACUAGCCACAGGUGACCUGAAAUGUGCCUAGUUCAAAUUGACAUGCCCUGGAACUGUGAACGAUGGGAGGCCACUGAGUGCAAUGAUCAAGGAAAAGUUCUUGAGACAUUCUAUGGGUAAAAAGGUACUUUUAUUAUAGCACAGGGACAGGACCCAGGGGCAGAAACAGCUGUACUGAGAUUGUGAUGAGUGACUGGUUGUAUACUUCAGGUUUGUGGAGGGAAGGGGGCAGACAUAACAUAAGUUUCUAAGCAAUUUCUGUUUGUUGAAAGUAGAGUCUGCUGGACCUUGAAGAUCUGGCUAUUUGUGCAGAUGAGGUUGCUUUUAGUCUUUAAUGAAACACCAACAUUAAGGCAGCCAUGGUUCGUUCCUUAAGUAAAGUCACACUCUGCACGCCUUAGGGAUUUAUCAGUGAGCUGCAGGUCAUAAGGAGAUUUAAUUUUAGCUACCAUUCUCUUGCCUUGUUCUCCUCAUCAUAAAUUACAUGUCAGAUUAUUUACCUGUUGAAAUAAUAUUUUGGACAUGUUGUGUUAAAUAAAAAUAUGUUAUUAAAAUUAAUUUUACCUUUAAAAAGUGUUUAUUAAUGUGGCUACUUGACUAUUUAAAAUUACAUAUAUGGGGGCACCUUAGUGACUCAGUCAGUUAAGUGUCCAACUCUUGAUCUUGGCUCAGGUCAUGAUCUCUCACAGUUUGUGAGUUCGAGCCUAGAGUUGACGGUAUGGAGCCUGCUUGGGAUUCUCUCUCUCCCUCUCUUCCUGCCCCUCCCCCAUUUGUUCACAUGUGCAUUUGCUCCCUCUCUCUCUCUCUCUCUCUCUCUCUAAAUAAAUAAACUUUAUAUAUGUAGCUUACAUAAUUCUGUUGGAAGUUUUGGACAGCGCUGUGCUUUGAGUGUAUAAAUAGUUACUAAGAUAUUUUUGAAAAAAUUUAAAGUACUGGAUAUUUAACUAGGCUUAAAAUAAUUUCCUUGCAAACAGGUGGAGGGGAAAUGAGGAUUUUACAUCUCCCAAUUAAAUGGACUUAGAGCUAGGUAAAUAACUAUAGAAUUCAAAUAAAAAGAAUGCAUGUUUAAUGGUGGGAUAGAGUGACACAUUAACAGGAGACAGUGGGAAAAUGAUAGUAAUAGGCAGACACUAUGCUUUGCCAUCUUUUGUUUAGCAUUAAAAAAAUUUUUUUUAAUUAAACUUUUAAUUUUGAGGUAAUUGUAUAGACUCACAUGCAAUUGAAAGAAAUAAUGCAGUAAGAUCCAGUGUGCCCUUUAGCCAUUGGUAACAUUUUGUGAAACUAUAGGACACUAUCACAGGAUAUUGACAUUGAUAAAAUUCACAUUAAAAAAAAGUUCUGGUAUAUUUAAGUAUAUCUCUACACCCAACAUGAGGCUUGAACUUACUACCCCAGAGGUCAAGAGCCGCAUGCUCUACUGACUGAAGCAGCCAGGUGCUCCUACAGAUUGUAUUAGAUUUUCUCGGUUUUACUUCUGCUCAUUGAUUGAUUGAUUGUGUGUGUGUGUGUGUGUGUGUGUGUGUGUGUAUUUCAUUCUGUGCAAUUUUGUUACAUGUGUUGGCUUCUGUCUCCAACACCACAGUCAAGAUACAGAACAAGUCUGUUACCACAGGGAUCCUUCUUGUCCUCUUACAACUACAUUCAUCUUUUCUCUCCCCAGUCUCUAACCACUGGCAACAACUAAUCUGUUCUCCAUUUCUAUAGGUUUGUCAUUUCAGUAAUGUUAAAUGAAUGGAGUCCUAUAGUAGGUAUGUAACCUUUUGAAAUUGGCUUCUUUUCUGUCAGCAUGUAUCAAUAAUUCAUUCCUUUUUUCUUUAUUGUGGUAAGAUAAACAUAACAUAGUAUUUAUUUGAACCAUUUGUAAGUAUAUAAUUCAGUAGCAUUAAAUAUAUUCACAGUGUUGUGUAGCCAUCACCACUAACCCAUUACUGCUAUACCUAAAAUAUUUUCAUCAUCUCCCAAAAUACUCUGUGCCAGUUAAACAAUAACUUUCUCUCCUCGCAGCCCUUAGUAACCUCUAGUCUUCCUUCUGUCUCUAUGAAUUUUUCUAUUCUAGGUGCCUCACAUAAGAGUAAUCAUACAAUAUUUGUUCUUCUGUGUUUGGCUUAUUUCACUGAGCAAGGUGUUCUCAAGGUCCAUCCAUGUUGUAGCAUAUCUCAGAAUUUCAGUUCUUUUUAUAAGUUGAGUCAUAUUUCAGCACACAACAUUUUUAUUAAUAACGUGGAUGAAAUAUCGAUGAUUUGCUUUGCAAAUCCAUACAUGACUUGAAGCUGGCAAUGAUAAGUUGUAUAGUUAAUGUGUUAUUUUUUCAGAACAGAGAUUGAAAAUAGUUAUUUUAGACUGAAAUGGACUAAACCAAUCAAGCUUUAUUGACUACUGAUAAGCACAAAGUUCUACAUAUGAUUCUAAAAAUAAGUGUUACUGGGGCACCUGGGUGGCUCAGUCAGUUGAGUGACUGACUUCGGCUCAGGUCAUGAUCUCAUGGUUUUUGAGUUUGAGCCCUGCGUCGGGCUCUGUGCUGACAGCUCGGAGCCUGGAGCCUGCUUCGGAUUCUGUGUUUCCCUCUCUCUCUGCCCCUCCCCCACUCAUGCUCUCUGUCUCAGAAAUAAACAUUAAAAAAAAUUUAAAAAGUGUUACUGUAGAUGAUUGUGAUGUAGUUUAACAGUAGAUAACAUGAAAAAUACUGGGGGUGGGAGUGGAGUGGUGGUGCAUGUUCAAUGUGAGUCCACAGUGUAAUUUGGGCUCUGUUAAUAGAAGCAUAGUGUCCAGAAUAAGUACUAUGAUUGUUUCAGACUACUGUGUUCAUUUCUGGGUACCUGAUUUUAUGGGUGCACAUUUAAAAACAGAUAUAUUCAAGACAGAAACUGGGAUGAUCUGACAGCAAGACAACAGCCACUCAGAUAGUCACGUCCUAGUCUAAGGAUUUGUUCAAGUCGAGUCUGGCGAAACAUUUGGCAGGGACAUUGUAAAAAGUGUUUUAGUACUUUUAGGAGAGUGGGGAUGGAGAAGAUGCUCUGUUAUACCUAUUAUCUUUGUAGCUCUUCAGCCCUGAGGUUUGGUAAUUAUAGAGCAUUGUAGACCACUGGGGUCUAAACUGUUGACAGUGGUUGUCCCUGAAGGAUGAGAUUGCAGGGGACUGUCACAUUCCAUGUCAUGUAUAUCUGUGUUUAAUUUUAGUUUUUACAUUGAGUACAUACUGCUCUAUUUAAAAAAAGUUGGGGGGGGCAAAGGGGUAAAGAAAUAUUCUUGUUUUGCAUAUCAACAUAGUUUAAUACUUUAAUUCUAGAAAAUUAAAAAAUAACAGUGAAUUAAUAUAAACAUUUUUUGUGUUUAUAGCCCUUUGCAUGUAUUGAGAGAUGUGUAUACAAAUGGAGGUUGGAUAUAUGAAUAUCUUGUGCUUUUGGAAGAGUGCUUUGCUUAAUAUUUGCCUAUAUUCCUUUUAGUAGUUCUCUGGAUGGUGACAAUGAAAUUUAGUUGGGCUUUGUCAGAUUAUUCUACAUCCUCAGAUUUACCUCCAGUCCCAGGUUUGGAUUAUGAGAUAACUAAAAAAAAUUCUUCUGUUGGUACCAUAGAAGUGGUGUAGUUCAUACUCUUCAGUCAUGAGUUUGCACUCUCGGAGGUCUUAAGGUGGAACUGUGUCUUGGAGGUAAGAGCACAAAUUAAGACUGAUCACUAAUGUAAUAGCAGGAACUUUCUGUUAGAGCAGUAUAGAAACGUAAGUGGUAAAACAGAUGUGCAGAAACCUCAACUCAAGCAAUACUUACUUAAAAAAAAAAAAAAAAAAAAAAAAAAGAACCAA